Molecule: non-coding RNA, 57 nt
Filed under: Candidatus Roizmaniibacteriota
Lineage: Bacteria
Source: RNAcentral
AAUGGGAAUGCUGUGUAAUUCAGCAGCUGUGCCGCAGCGGUUAAAGCCCGAAUACCA